CAUUAAGAAGCUUUAUAGCGUUAACCUUUUAAGUUAAAGACUGAGAGUGCAAGUCUCUCCUUAAUGG
Non-coding RNA from Ailuropoda melanoleuca (giant panda), 67 nucleotides. NCBI's taxonomy places the organism in Eukaryota, Metazoa, Chordata, Mammalia, Carnivora, Ursidae. The record is from Rfam.